ACACGACUACAUUAGAUACCCGGGUAGUCCCAGCCGUAAACAAUGUGCGUUAGGUGUGUCGGUAACCACGCGUUACUGAUGCGCCGAAGAGAAAUCGUGAAACGCACCACCUGGGAAGUACGGUCGCAAGGCUGAAACUUAAAGGAAUUGGCGGGGGAGCACCACAACAGGUGGAGCCUGCGGUUUAAUUGGAUUCAACGCCGGACAUCUCACCGGAUAAGACAGCUGAAUGAUUGUCAAUCUGAAGGUUUUACAUGACUAGCUG
RNAcentral lists this ribosomal RNA (265 nucleotides) under uncultured archaeon. RNAcentral's name for it is "partial 16S ribosomal RNA". It matches the Rfam family "Archaeal small subunit ribosomal RNA", at positions 717 to 982 of the family's 1478-position model. The record is from RNAcentral.